Molecule: microRNA precursor, 208 nt
Organism: Oryza rufipogon (brownbeard rice)
Lineage: Eukaryota; Viridiplantae; Streptophyta; Magnoliopsida; Poales; Poaceae
Rfam family: MIR812 microRNA precursor family
Source: Rfam
AAUAAGUGCAGUUUUGUAAUAUUCACGUUCAACGUUUGACUGUUCGUCUUAUUUGAAAAUUUUCUGUGAUUGGUAUUUUUAUUGCUAUUAGAUGAUAAAACAUGAAUAGUAUUUUAUUUGUGAUUAAAUAUUUUCAAAUUUUUCACAAAUUUUUUAAAUAAGACGGACGGUCAAACGUUGGGCACGGAUAUCCAAGGCUGCACUUAUU